ACUCCUACGGGAGGCAGCAGUGGGGAAUAUUGGACAAUGGGCGAAAGCCUGAUCCAGCCAUGCCGCGUGUGUGAAGAAGGUCUUCGGAUUGUAAAGCACUUUAAGUUGGGAGGAAGGGCAGUAAAUUAAUACUUUGCUGUUUUGACGUUACCGACAGAAUAAGCACCGGCUAACCCUGUGCCAGCAGCCGCGGUAAU
Molecule: ribosomal RNA, 197 nt
Filed under: uncultured bacterium
Lineage: Bacteria
Description: partial 16S ribosomal RNA
Rfam family: Bacterial small subunit ribosomal RNA
Source: RNAcentral